Molecule: long non-coding RNA, 218 nt
Filed under: Elaeis guineensis (African oil palm)
Lineage: Eukaryota; Viridiplantae; Streptophyta; Magnoliopsida; Arecales; Arecaceae
Description: long non-coding RNA (EGUI_LNC023254)
Source: RNAcentral
GGCGCCUCACGGGGUAAGAGGGAGCCCGCGCUACUUAAGCACAUGCACACACCAGAGUUGCCCGAUGUGGGACUAUUAAGGGAGGUCCCCCCACAGCCUGCCACAAUAUGCCCCCCACUCUGGAGGGUGCAUGUGUGGACGGGGGCGGGUGCCCCCUACCUGACGCGCCACUGUUGUGCACACGUGUUAAGGCCACGGUACCUUCCCCUCUCCACCGC